Long non-coding RNA from Aedes aegypti (yellow fever mosquito), 409 nucleotides. RefSeq lists it as uncharacterized. Lineage: Eukaryota; Metazoa; Arthropoda; Insecta; Diptera; Culicidae. The record is from RefSeq and is a predicted model, not a curated record. The transcript has 2 exons.
GCGUGGAUGUAAACAAAAACAGAUUCGGUUUCGUUUUCCAACGUGCAUUUCGUAAAAAAAUAAAAAAAACACAAUAUUUUCGGGAAUGUGGAUUCCAGAGAAAUACAUUCUGAAAUAUGAGGAGGAUCACUGGAUGAACAAACAUGAACAUGUUGAAUGCUUCAUUUUGCAGAUGAUGCGCCCCUACAGCAGUUCGGCUCCGACGAAAUGGACAUCAAGGACAUUGAUCCGCUGGAUCAACAACAGCAUAAUGGCACUGAACUGGCUGCCGAUUCAAACUCAUCCCAACCGGCAGGAGAGAAAAUAUUCUCGAUCAAAGCCUAGUGAUACCGGUUCUAUAAGUACCAGUUCAAUGUCAGCGGUGAUAGACGCACCUCCGCCUUCAUCACCGGAAUGUCCACCACAAAGA